RNAcentral lists this ribosomal RNA (380 nucleotides) under uncultured eukaryote. Its description in RNAcentral is "partial 18S ribosomal RNA". It matches the Rfam family "Eukaryotic small subunit ribosomal RNA", at positions 592 to 976 of the family's 1831-position model. The record is from RNAcentral.
CAAUAGCGUAUAUUAAAGUUGUUGCGGUUAAAAAGCUCGUAGUUGGAUUUCUGCUGAGGACGAUCGGUCCGCCCUCUGGGUGAGUAUCUGGCUCGGCCUUGGCAUCUUCUUGGAGAACGUUACUGCACUUGACUGUGUGGUGCGGUAUCCAGGACUUUUACUUUGAGGAAAUUAGAGUGUUUCAAGCAGGCGCACGCCUUGAAUACAUUAGCAUGGAAUAAUAAGAUAGGACCUUGGUUCUAUUUUGUUGGUUUCUAGAGCUGAGGUAAUGAUUAAUAGGGAUAGUUGGGGGCAUUCGUAUUUAACUGUCAGAGGUGAAAUUCUUGGAUUUGUUAAAGACGGACUACCGCGAAAGCAUUUGCCAAGGAUGUUUUCAUUGA